GGCGAACGGGUGAGUAACACGUGAGUAACCUGCCCCUGACUCUGGGAUAAGCGUUGGAAACGACGUCUAAUACUGGAUAUGACUGCCGNCCGCAUGGUCUGGUGGUGGAAAGAUUUUUUGGUUGGGGAUGGACUCGCGGCCUAUCAGCUUGUUGGUGAGGUAAUGGCUCACCAAGGCGACGACGGGUAGCCGGCCUGAGAGGGUGACCGGCCACACUGGGACUGAGACACGGCCCAGACUCCUACGGGAGGCAGCAGUGGGGAAUAUUGCACAAUGGGCGAAAGCCUGAUGCAGCAACGCCGCGUGAGGGAUGACGGCCUUCGGGUUGUAAACCUCUUUUAGUAGGGAAGAAGCGUAAGUGACGGUACCUGCAGAAAAAGCACCGGCUAACUACGUGCCAGCAGCCGCGGUAAUACGUAGGGUGCAAGCGUUGUCCGGAAUUAUUGGGCGUAAAGAGCUCGUAGGCGGUUUGUCGCGUCUGCUGUGAAAUCCCGAGGCUCAACCUCGGGCUUGCAGUGGGUACGGGCAGACUAGAGUGCGGUAGGGGAGAUUGGAAUUCCUGGUGUAGCGGUGGAAUGCGCAGAUAUCAGGAGGAACACCGAUGGCGAAGGCAGAUCUCUGGGCCGUAACUGACGCUGAGGAGCGAAAGCGUGGGGAGCGAACAGGAUUAGAUACCCUGGUAGUCCAUGCCGUAAACGUUGGGCGCUAGAUGUAGGGACCUUUCCACGGUUUCUGUGUCGUAGCUAACGCAUUAAGCGCCCCGCCUGGGGAGUACGGCCGCAAGGCUAAAACUCAAAGGAAUUGACGGGGGCCCGCACAAGCGGCGGAGCAUGCGGAUUAAUUCGAUGCAACGCGAAGAACCUUACCAAGGCUUGACAUACACCGGAAACGGCCAGAGAUGGUCGCCCCCUUGUGGUCGGUGUACAGGUGGUGCAUGGUUGUCGUCAGCUCGUGUCGUGAGAUGUUGGGUUAAGUCCCGCAACGAGCGCAACCCUCGUUCUAUGUUGCCAGCGCGUUAUGGCGGGGACUCAUAGGAGACUGCCGGGGUCAACUCGGAGGAAGGUGGGGAUGACGUCAAAUCAUCAUGCCCCUUAUGUCUUGGGCUUCACGCAUGCUACAAUGGCCGGUACAAAGGGCUGCGAUACCGUAAGGUGGAGCGAAUCCCAAAAAGCCGGUCUCAGUUCGGAUUGAGGUCUGCAACUCGACCUCAUGAAGUCGGAGUCGCUAGUAAUCGCAGAUCAGCAACGCUGCGGUGAAUACGUUCCCGGGCCUUGUACACACCGCCCGUCAAGUCAUGAAAGUCGGUAACACCCGAAGCCGGUGGCCUAACCCUUGUGGAAGGAGCCGUCGAAGGUGGGAUCGGUGAU
This 1367-nucleotide ribosomal RNA is filed under the name Curtobacterium oceanosedimentum. RNAcentral describes it as "bacterial SSU rRNA". It matches the Rfam family "Bacterial small subunit ribosomal RNA", at positions 97 to 1475 of the family's 1533-position model. Lineage: Bacteria; Bacillati; Actinomycetota; Actinomycetes; Micrococcales; Microbacteriaceae. The record is from RNAcentral.